This 461-nucleotide ribosomal RNA is filed under the name uncultured Propionibacterium sp. RNAcentral's name for it is "bacterial SSU rRNA". It matches the Rfam family "Bacterial small subunit ribosomal RNA", at positions 39 to 507 of the family's 1533-position model. Lineage: Bacteria; Bacillati; Actinomycetota; Actinomycetes; Propionibacteriales; Propionibacteriaceae. The record is from RNAcentral.
GCUGCGGCGUGCUUAACACAUGCAAGUCGACGGAAAGGCCCUUGCGUUUUGUCGGGGUGCGUCGAGUGGCGAACGGGUGAGUAACACGUGAGUAACCUGCCCUUGACUUUGGGAUAACUUCAGGAAACUGGGGCUAAUACCGGAUAGGAGCUCCUGCUGCAUGGUGGGGGUUGGAAAGUUUCGGCGGUUGGGGAUGGACUCGCGGCUUAUCAGCUUGUUGUGGGGUAGUGGCUUACCAAGGCUUUGACGGGUAGCCGGCCUGAGAGGUGACCGGCCACAUUGGGACUGAGAUACGGCCCAGACUCCUACGGGAGGCAGCAGUGGGGAAUAUUGCACAAUGGGCGGAAGCCUGAUGCAGCAACGCCGCGUGCGGGAUGACGGCCUUCGGGUUGUAAACCGCUUUCGCCUGUGACGAAGCGUGAGUGACGGUAAUGGGUAAAGAAGCACCGGCUAACUACGUG